AUUGAACGCUGGCGGCAUGCUUUACACAUGCAAGUCGAACGGCAGCGCGGGCUUCGGCCUUGCCGCGUGUCGAGAACGGGUGUGUAAUGCAGGGGCACGUGCCCACGAGGGGGGGAACGCGCGGAGAGAUCCGGUUAUAUCCCACACACGAUCUGGGUGUGAGAACGGGGGCCCGAAACGUCUCGCGCUUGUGGCGCGCGCGAUGUCGGAUUAGCUAGUUGGUGGGGUAAAGGCUUACCAAGCCGACGAUCCGUAGCUGGUCUGAGAGGACGACCAGCCACACUGGGACUGAGACACGACCCAGACUCCUACGGGAGGCAGCAGUGGGGAAUUUUGGACAAUGGGCGCAAGCCUGAUCCAGCAAUGCCGCGUGCAGGAUGAAGGCCUUCGGGUUGUAAACUGCUUUUGUACGGAAAGAAAAGGCUCUGGCUAAUACCUCGGGGAGAUGACGGUACCGUAAGAAUAAGCACCGGCUAACUACGUG
RNAcentral lists this ribosomal RNA (484 nucleotides) under uncultured bacterium. RNAcentral describes it as "partial 16S ribosomal RNA". It matches the Rfam family "Bacterial small subunit ribosomal RNA", at positions 28 to 507 of the family's 1533-position model. The record is from RNAcentral.